This is a long non-coding RNA of Limulus polyphemus (Atlantic horseshoe crab), 220 nucleotides long. RefSeq lists it as uncharacterized. The record is from RefSeq and is a predicted model, not a curated record. Lineage: Eukaryota; Metazoa; Arthropoda; Merostomata; Xiphosura; Limulidae. The transcript has 3 exons.
UAAAAAACAAUCAUGUGUUGGAACCUUGGUCGAACCGCCACGAAACUUACAGUAAAGAAACUACAGUUGGGACUAACUCUACUCUCGUCAUUAGAAAUAUUCAAACUCAAGAUGCUGCCCUCUAUACGUGUUCUGUAGAGAACUCAUUCGGAAAUGACAGCUGGAAUAUCAAGAUGAUUGUUAAUGAACCACCUCAGAGUCCAUCGGAUAUUGUUGUUGG